RNAcentral lists this ribosomal RNA (427 nucleotides) under uncultured prokaryote. RNAcentral's name for it is "bacterial SSU rRNA". It matches the Rfam family "Bacterial small subunit ribosomal RNA", at positions 355 to 774 of the family's 1533-position model. The record is from RNAcentral.
UGGGGAAUAUUGCACAAUGGGCGAAAGCCUGAUGCAGCGACGCCGCGUGGAUGAAGAAGGCCGACAGGUUGUAAAGUUCUUUUGCUAGGGGAGAAUAAGUGAGGGAGGGAAUGCCCUCAUGAUGACAAGGACUAGCGAAUAAGCCCCGGCCAACUACGUGCCAGCAGCCGCGGUAACACGUAGGGGGCGAGCGUUGUUCGGAAUUACUGGGCGUAAAGGGCAUGUAGGCGGCUUGGUAAGCCUGGCGUGAAAGACUGCAGCUUAACUGUAGGGAUGCGUUGGGAACUGCUUAGCUUGAGUUACGGAGAGGGAGCUGGAAUUCCUGGUGUAGGGGUGAAAUCUGUAGAUAUCAGGAAGAACACCGGUGGCGAAGGCGGCUUACUGGACGAGUACUGACGCUCAGGUGCGAAAGCGUGGGGAGCAAACA